RNAcentral lists this ribosomal RNA (422 nucleotides) under uncultured bacterium. RNAcentral describes it as "bacterial SSU rRNA". It matches the Rfam family "Bacterial small subunit ribosomal RNA", at positions 355 to 774 of the family's 1533-position model. The record is from RNAcentral.
UAAGGAAUAUUGGACAAUGGAGGCAACUCUGAUCCAGCCAUGCCGCGUGAAGGAAUAAGGCCCUAUGGGUUGUAAACUUCUUUUAGACGGGACAAAACCCCUUUACGUGUAAAGGGUUGAUGGUACUGUCAGACUAAGCAUCGGCUAACUUCGUGCCAGCAGCCGCGGUAAUACGAAGGAUGCAAGCGUUAUCCGGAAUUAUUGGGUUUAAAGGGUGCGUAGGCGGACUAAUAAGUCAGUGGUGAAAGCCUGCAGCUUAACUGCAGAAUUGCCAUUGAUACUGUUAGUCUUGAGUACAGUUGAGGUAGGCGGAAUGUGUCAUGUAGCGGUGAAAUGCUUAGAUAUGACACAGAACACCGAUUGCGAAGGCAGCUUGCUAAGCUGUAACUGACGCUGAGGCACGAAAGCGUGGGGAGCAAACA